GCCUCAUAAAAAUAUUUCUGACAUCUCCGCCAAUUUUCAUAAUUUUCUGACACUGUGCAUUUUCUGCUAAUUUAUCUGCCCCGUUUCUUACAGAAAAUUCUAAAUCUUCUGUUUUCGCUUCGAUUUCAGAACAGGUCUUUCCCAACUUAUAUUUCACUUCUCUAAAUCCAAUAAAAAUAGUAUCUCAUACUAUUUUUAUUUAUUUUCACUUUUAUAUUUAAAAUCCGAUAUGUUACAUUCCACCGUAACCUUACCGGAACCAUUUAAAUGUACACCGUAACUUCAUAGUUUUAGAAGUCCGGUACCUUACAUCCUCCCCUCCUUAAUAAGAGUUUCGUCCCCGAAACUCACUCACUUCAACCCAAUUCACACUCUAAUUCUCUUUAUUGAGUGACAAGGGGUACAGUGCACUUUUGCAUCUCG
This 423-nucleotide long non-coding RNA is filed under the name Ananas comosus (pineapple). RNAcentral's name for it is "long non-coding RNA (ACOM_LNC003479)". The record is from RNAcentral. Lineage: Eukaryota; Viridiplantae; Streptophyta; Magnoliopsida; Poales; Bromeliaceae.